CCCUUAGAUGUUCUGAACCGCACGCGUGUUACACUGAUGCAUUCAACGCGCUUUACCUUGGCCGAGAGGCCUGGGAAAUCUUUUUAGCAUGCAUCGUGAUAGGGAUUGAUUAUUGCAAUUAUUAAUCAUGAACGAGGAAUUCCUAGUAAACGCAUUUCAUCAAAAUGCAUUGAUUACGUCCCUGCCCUUUGUACACACCGCCCGUCGCACCUACCGAUUGAGUGGUCCGGUGAAGUCUCGAGAUUGUGGCAAUCUCCUUUAUUGGAGUUUGACUGCGAGAACUUGCCUAAACCUUAUCACUUAGAGGAAGGUGAAGUCGUAACA
This 324-nucleotide ribosomal RNA is filed under the name uncultured eukaryote. Its description in RNAcentral is "partial 18S ribosomal RNA". It matches the Rfam family "Eukaryotic small subunit ribosomal RNA", at positions 1470 to 1796 of the family's 1831-position model. The record is from RNAcentral.